Molecule: ribosomal RNA, 426 nt
Filed under: Bacteroidota bacterium
Lineage: Bacteria; Pseudomonadati; Bacteroidota
Description: Bacteroidetes bacterium partial 16S ribosomal RNA
Rfam family: Bacterial small subunit ribosomal RNA
Source: RNAcentral
UAGGGAAUCUUCGGCAAUGGGGGGAACCCUGACCGAGCAACGCCGCGUGAGUGAAGAAGGUUUUCGGAUCGUAAAGCUCUGUUGUUAAGGAAGAACGAGUGUGAGAAUGGAAAGUUCAUACUGUGACGGUACUUAACCAGAAAGGGACGGCUAACUACGUGCCAGCAGCCGCGGUAAUACGUAGGUCCCGAGCGUUGUCCGGAUUUAUUGGGCGUAAAGCGAGCGCAGGCGGUUAGAUAAGUCUGAAGUUAAAGGCAGUGGCUCAACCAUUGUAGGCUUUGGAAACUGUUUAACUUGAGUGCAGAAGGGGAGAGUGGAAUUCCAUGUGUAGCGGUGAAAUGCGUAGAUAUAUGGGGGAACACCGGUGGCGAAAGCGGCUCUCUGGUCUGUAACUGACGCUGAGGCUCGAAAGCGUGGGGAGCGAAC